Molecule: long non-coding RNA, 430 nt
Organism: Chiroxiphia lanceolata (lance-tailed manakin)
Lineage: Eukaryota; Metazoa; Chordata; Aves; Passeriformes; Pipridae
Exons: 3
Source: RefSeq, a predicted model, not a curated record
CUGUGACUGUGACACGAGGGAAAGAAGGAAGGAAAAGCUUCCACCUCGGGACAGUCGUUUGGGGGAAGCCCGAGUUCCUUAGCUGGACAUUUUGGUCACCCUGGGAAGGUGCCACGGGGAGGCUGCGACUCAACGCUGACCUGUGCGACCCCCUCUGCAUUCAGGAAGCAAAGAGCAGCAAAAGCUGAGGUGCCUCAGGCCUGCACCCCUCAAUUUUCAGCCCCUGAUGAGUGCAAAUUAGCUCAGACCUUCCCAGGACAGGAGAAGGGCCCACACACAGCAGCGGGAUCAGGAUCAGAAGAGGCUUUCACACACAUCCAGCUCACCUGCAUCUUCCUUUGGGUGGCUUAGCUGGAGCCGAGGAUCUGAACGAGGUGCUCUGCACUUCAAACACUCCUUAGAUCUAAACCAUUAUUUAUUUGAAUGAAUA